RNAcentral lists this ribosomal RNA (454 nucleotides) under uncultured bacterium. Its description in RNAcentral is "bacterial SSU rRNA". It matches the Rfam family "Bacterial small subunit ribosomal RNA", at positions 33 to 507 of the family's 1533-position model. The record is from RNAcentral.
ACGCUGGCGGCGUGCCUAACACAUGCAAGUCGAACGGGGUAUUUCUUCGGAGAUACUUAGUGGCGAACGGGUGAGUAACGCGUGAGAAACCUGCCUUUCAGUGGGGGACAACAGUUGGAAACGACUGCUAAUACCGCAUAAUGUUAUUUAAGGGCAUCCUUGAAUAACCAAAGCUUUAUGUGCUGAAAGAUGGUCUCGCGUCUGAUUAGCUAGUUGGUGAGGUAACGGCCCACCAAGGCGACGAUCAGUAGCCGACCUGAGAGGGUGAUCGGCCACAUUGGGACUGAGACACGGCCCAAACUCCUACGGGAGGCAGCAGUGGGGAAUAUUGCACAAUGGAGGAAACUCUGAUGCAGCGAUGCCGCGUGAGGGAAGAAGGUUUUCGGAUUGUAAACCUCUGUCUUCAGGGACGAUAAUGACGGUACCUGAGGAGGAAGCUCCGGCUAACUACGUG